Molecule: ribosomal RNA, 156 nt
Filed under: Olea europaea subsp. europaea
Lineage: Eukaryota; Viridiplantae; Streptophyta; Magnoliopsida; Lamiales; Oleaceae
Description: 5.8S ribosomal RNA
Rfam family: 5.8S ribosomal RNA
About the family: 5.8S ribosomal RNA (5.8S rRNA) is a component of the large subunit of the eukaryotic ribosome. It is transcribed by RNA polymerase I as part of the 45S precursor that also contains 18S and 28S rRNA.
Source: Rfam by way of RNAcentral
GACUCUCGACAAUGGAUAUCUCAACUCUCGCAUCGAUGAAGAAUGUAGAAAAAUGUGAUAUUUGGUGCGGAUUGCAGAAUCCCAUGAACCAUCGAGUUUUUGAACGCAAGUUACGCCCAAGGCCAUUGUGCUGAGGGCACGUCUGCUUGGACGUCA